AUUGAACGCUGGCGGCAGGCCUAACACAUGCAAGUCGAACGGUAACAGGAAGAAGCUUGCUUCUUUGCUGACGAGUGGCGGACGGGUGAGUAAUGUCUGGGAAACUGCCUGAUGGAGGGGGAUAACUACUGGAAACGGUAGCUAAUACCGCAUAACGUCGCAAGACCAAAGAGGGGGACCUUCGGGCCUCUUGCCGUCGGAUGUGCCCAGAUGGGAUUAGCUAGUAGGUGGGGUAACGGCUCACCUAGGCGACGAUCCCUAGCUGGUCUGAGAGGAUGACCAGCCACACUGGAACUGAGACACGGUCCAGACUCCUACGGGAGGCAGCAGUGGGGAAUAUUGCACAAUGGGCGCAAGCCUGAUGCAGCCAUGCCGCGUGUAUGAAGAAGGCCUUCGGGUUGUAAAGUACUUUCAGCGGGGAGGAAGGGAGUAAAGUUAAUACCUUUGCUCAUUGACGUUACCCGCAGAAGAAGCACCGGCUAACUCCGCG
This 490-nucleotide ribosomal RNA is filed under the name uncultured bacterium. RNAcentral describes it as "partial 16S ribosomal RNA". It matches the Rfam family "Bacterial small subunit ribosomal RNA", at positions 30 to 507 of the family's 1533-position model. The record is from RNAcentral.